This 87-nucleotide transfer RNA is filed under the name Chloroflexota bacterium. Its description in RNAcentral is "Chloroflexi bacterium (rhizosphere metagenome) tRNA-Leu". It matches the Rfam family "tRNA". From Rfam's summary of the family: Transfer RNA (tRNA) molecules are approximately 80 nucleotides in length. Their secondary structure includes four short double-helical elements and three loops (D, anti-codon, and T loops). The record is from RNAcentral. Lineage: Bacteria; Bacillati; Chloroflexota.
GCCGAGGUGGCGGAAUUGGCAGACGCGCUACUUUGAGGGGGUAGUGAGGGCAACCUCGUAAGGGUUCAAGUCCCUUCCUCGGCACCA